GUGGGGUAUAUUGAUGAUAACAAAAUAAAAGAGACUUGAUGAGUUGCAAUAAGGGCUCAGCAUAGAUAUUUGUUUGAUCCCGCGCUUUUCACUUGCCCGAACAAUGAAGAUCUAGAGAAUGAAGUCCGUGCAACUAUUAAAAAUAAAGUAUAUCAAAUGCAAGCACCAGAUAACAUAUUAGUGCCAGAUGACAUGAUCGAUAUAGGACAAUUGCAAAGAGACGACUGUGAACCUAAGGAUGUUCCUAUUGUUGGAUCAUCGAUAAGGGCACAAGCAUGAGCAUGAUCCAAUAAUAAUUUGGGAUC
Molecule: long non-coding RNA, 305 nt
Filed under: Elaeis guineensis (African oil palm)
Lineage: Eukaryota; Viridiplantae; Streptophyta; Magnoliopsida; Arecales; Arecaceae
Description: long non-coding RNA (EGUI_LNC047634)
Source: RNAcentral